Molecule: long non-coding RNA, 1330 nt
Organism: Astatotilapia calliptera (eastern happy)
Lineage: Eukaryota; Metazoa; Chordata; Actinopteri; Cichliformes; Cichlidae
Source: Ensembl
CUGUUUAUAUAGGGUAAUAAAUCUCUUCUGAAGCAAUAUAGUUCAUUUUGGGUGAAAAACAAAACAUUCCUCUAAAAUAUAUAUACUGACAUCAGCAAUCAACAUCAUGAUUGUAAUUAUUUCCUUUUUAGUACAUCUACUGCUGUUUGCAUGUGUCAAGCACUACGACUGUAUCUAUGCAUAUAAAUUCACCAUAUAUAUCCAGCAAAAAUGUUUUGUUAUAGUCAAAAGGAAAACAAACAAAGGCAUUCAAUCAGAGGUGAGAAAUUAAUUGGGAAUAUGAAUUAUAGGUGAACUAUUCUUUACCUACUAGCAAUCAAAUUCAAAUUCAAAUUCAAAUUCAAAUUUUAUUUGUCACGUACACAGUCAUACACAGUACGAUAUGUAGUGAAAUGCUUGGACAACUGCUCGUGACCUAAAGAGAACAAAAAAGGAAAAGGCUAUGAAUAAGAUAGGAAAUAAAUAUGAAAAAUUAAAAAGGGUAAAUUUAACUAGGAAGGAAUAAAAUAUAAAUUAAGGUUAAAAAUGAAAUAACUGUACAACACAAAUUAGAAUGAAGGGUAAAUUUAACUGGGAAGGAAUAAAAUAUAAAUUAAGGUUAAAAAUGAAAUAACUGUACAACACAAAUUAGAAUGAAGGGUAAAUUUAACUGGGAAGAAUAAGAUAAAAUAUAUAAAUUAAAGUUGAAAAUAAAAUAACUGUACAACAAAAUACACAAUACACAAUAUAGAACUAUAUAAGAAUGUAUGAAGAAAUCUAAAUCUAAAUAAAUAUAUACACAAUAACAGCAGCUGUACAAGUAUUAACUGGAAAUGAAGAAUAUAGUGACCAGUGUUGUGCAAAAACAAAGUCCAGAAAGUCCAGUGUGUGUGUAAGAACCAUAUGUGUGGGUCAGUACUGUGUGGUGGUGUGAUUGAGAGACCGUAUCGCCUGCGGGAAGAAGCUCCUCCUCAGUCUCUCUGUGUUGGUCUUCAGGGAGCGGAAUCGAUUUCCUGACCUCAGCAGAGAGAACAGUCUGUUGUUGGGAUGGCUGAGGUCCUUCACGAUCUUCCUGGCCUUGGUCCAGCACCGCCUGCUGUAGAUUGAGUGCAGGUCAGGGAGCUCGGAGCGGAUGGUGCGCUCAGCUGACCGCACAACCCUCUGUAGAGCUCGUCUGUCCUGCAUGGUGCUGUUCCCGAACCAGGUUAAGAUGUUUCCCGCCAGGAUGCUCUCUAUGGUGCACGAGUAAAAGUUCCUGAGCACCUUGGAGGGCAGUUGGAAGUCUCUCAAGCGUCUGAGGUGGUAGAGACGCUGUCGGGCCUUUUUCACCACGGUGUUGAUGUGACAGGAC